CUCUUAUGGAGAGUUUGAUCCUGGCUCAGGACGAACGCUGGCGGCGUGCCUAAUACAUGCAAGUCGAGCGCGGGAAGCGAGCUGAAGCCCUUCGGGGCGGACGCUCGUGGAACGAGCGGCGGACGGGUGAGUAACACGUGGGCAACCUACCUGUAAGACCGGAAUAACCCCGGGAAACCGGGGCUAAUGCCGGGUAACCGUUCGGUUCUCCUGAACCGAACGUAAAAGGAUGGCUUCUUGCUAUCGCUUACAGAUGGGCCCGCGGCGCAUUAGCUAGUUGGUAAGGUAACGGCUUACCAAGGCGACGAUGCGUAGCCGACCU
This 322-nucleotide ribosomal RNA is filed under the name Salimicrobium halophilum. Its description in RNAcentral is "bacterial SSU rRNA". It matches the Rfam family "Bacterial small subunit ribosomal RNA", at positions 1 to 293 of the family's 1533-position model. The record is from RNAcentral. Lineage: Bacteria; Bacillati; Bacillota; Bacilli; Caryophanales; Bacillaceae.